RNAcentral lists this ribosomal RNA (253 nucleotides) under uncultured bacterium. Its description in RNAcentral is "partial 16S ribosomal RNA". It matches the Rfam family "Bacterial small subunit ribosomal RNA", at positions 524 to 776 of the family's 1533-position model. The record is from RNAcentral.
UACGAGGGGGGCGAGCGUUGUCCGGAAUCAUUGGGCGUAAAGAGCGUGUAGGCGGCCGCUUAAGUCCUGCGUGAAAUCUUGCGGCUCAACCGCAAGCGGUCGUGGGAAACUGGGUGGCUAGAGUGCGGGAGAGGAGAGUGGAAUUCCUGGUGUAGCGGUGGAAUGCGCAGAUAUCAGGAAGAACACCCGUGGCGAAGGCGGCUCACUGGCCCGAUACUGACGCUGAGGCACGAAAGCGUGGGGAGCAAACAGG